GACGAACGCUGGCGGCGUGCUUAACACAUGCAAGUCGAACGAAGAGCGAUGGAAGCUUGCUUCUAUCAAUCUUAGUGGCGCACGGGUGAGUAACGCGUAAUCAACCUGCCCUUCAGAGGGGGACAACAGUUGGAAACGACUGCUAAUACCGCAUACGAUCCAAUCUCGGCAUCGGGACUGGAUGAAAGGUGGCCUCUAUUUAUAAGCUAUCACUGAAGGAGGGGAUUGCGUCUGAUUAGCUAGUUGGAGGGGUAACGGCCCACCAAGGCGAUGAUCAGUAGCCGGUCUGAGAGGAUGAACGGCCACAUUGGGACUGAGACACGGCCCAGACUCCUACGGGAGGCAGCAGUGGGGAAUCUUCCGCAAUGGACGAAAGUCUGACGGAGCAACGCCGCGUGAGUGAUGACGGCCUUCGGGUUGUAAAGCUCUGUUAAUCGGGACGAAUGGUUCUUGUGCGAAUAGUGCGAGGACUUGACGGUACCGGAAUAGAAAGCCACGGCUAACUACGUG
Molecule: ribosomal RNA, 510 nt
Filed under: uncultured bacterium
Lineage: Bacteria
Description: partial 16S ribosomal RNA
Rfam family: Bacterial small subunit ribosomal RNA
Source: RNAcentral